GAGAAAAGGGAGUCGUGGAUGGAGACUUGUCCUACAUGGCCGAGCGAGAUCGAGGCUAGCCGCCGGUAAUGUUCUUCUCCCGUGCAAGUUCCGCACUGCAUUGAAGCAUCCAACACAUGAUGUAGCUACGUUACAGGUGGGACAUCAGCCAAGUAUGUUUCGAGGUGAGACAUCCAUCAAGUUUGUUUGGAGAAAUUGUGCAGUCCAG
Molecule: long non-coding RNA, 208 nt
Organism: Triticum dicoccoides
Lineage: Eukaryota; Viridiplantae; Streptophyta; Magnoliopsida; Poales; Poaceae
Exons: 4
Source: RefSeq, a predicted model, not a curated record